GGAUGAUUUUAGUCACCAUAUA
RNAcentral lists this small nuclear RNA (22 nucleotides) under Arabidopsis thaliana (thale cress). Its description in RNAcentral is "snRNA_00044". The record is from RNAcentral. Lineage: Eukaryota; Viridiplantae; Streptophyta; Magnoliopsida; Brassicales; Brassicaceae.